RNAcentral lists this ribosomal RNA (424 nucleotides) under uncultured prokaryote. RNAcentral describes it as "bacterial SSU rRNA". It matches the Rfam family "Bacterial small subunit ribosomal RNA", at positions 355 to 796 of the family's 1533-position model. The record is from RNAcentral.
UGGGGAAUAUUGGACAAUGGGCGCAAGCCUGAUCCAGCAAUGCCGCGUGAGUGAUGAAGGCCUUAGGGUUGUAAAGCUCUUUUACUAGGGAUGAUAAUGACAGUACCUAGAGAAUAAGCUCCGGCUAACUCCGUGCCAGCAGCCGCGGUAAUACGGAGGGAGCUAGCGUUGUUCGGAAUUACUGGGCGUAAAGAGAACGUAGGCGGUCUAUCAAGUCAGGGGUGAAAUCCCGGGGCUCAACCCCGGAACUGCCCUUGAAACUGAUAAACUAGAAUCCUGGAGAGGUUAGUGGAAUUCCGAGUGUAGAGGUGAAAUUCGUAGAUAUUCGGAAGAACACCAGUGGCGAAGGCGACUGACUGGACAGGUAUUGACGCUGAGGUUCGAAAGCGUGGGGAGCAAACAGGAUUAGAUACCCCCGUAGUCC